AUGACCUUACUUGCACAUGAUCUGUUCUAUAGGCUCGUACUGCUGCAUCCUUUACCAAUAAGGAGGCAAGCACUUCAGUCUGGUUGAUGCAUUCUGACCUUUGGGCCAGAACGUGAUUAACGGCCAGGAUCACCUGAUGGGUGCCAUCCGAUCAGAGGAUCGUUCCUGCCUGGUACACACUGGUGCAAGGUGGCUCAGAGGUUGUUUGACAGACU
Molecule: non-coding RNA, 215 nt
Organism: Triticum aestivum (bread wheat)
Lineage: Eukaryota; Viridiplantae; Streptophyta; Magnoliopsida; Poales; Poaceae
Source: Rfam